RNAcentral lists this ribosomal RNA (474 nucleotides) under uncultured bacterium. Its description in RNAcentral is "partial 16S ribosomal RNA". It matches the Rfam family "Bacterial small subunit ribosomal RNA", at positions 28 to 507 of the family's 1533-position model. The record is from RNAcentral.
GAUGAACGCUAGCGGCAGGCCUAACACAUGCAAGUCGAGGGAGGAGCCUUCGGGCUUCGACCGGCGUACGGGUGCGUAACGCGUAUACAAUCUGCCUUUCACAUAGGGAUAGCCUGAAGAAAUUUGGAUUAAUACCUAAUGGUAUAUAGAUGUGGCAUCACCUUUAUAUUAAAGCUGAGGCGGUGAAAGAUGAGUAUGCGUUCUAUUAGCUAGUUGGAGAGGUAACGGCUCCCCAAGGCGACGAUAGAUAGGGGUUCUGAGAGGGAUAUCCCCCACACUGGUACUGAGAUACGGACCAGACUCCUACGGGAGGCAGCAGUGAGGAAUAUUGGACAAUGGUCGGAAGACUGAUCCAGCCAUGCCGCGUGCAGGAAGACGGCCUUAUGGGUUGUAAACUGCUUUUGCAGGGGAAGAAUAAGGACUACGCGUAGUUUGAUGACGGUACUCUGCGAAUAAGCAUCGGCUAACUCCGUG